UACGUAGGGUGCGAGCGUUAAUCGGAAUUACUGGGCGUAAAGCGUGCGCAGGCGGCGCGUUAAGACAGGUGUGAAAGCCCCGAGCUUAACUUGGGAAUUGCGCUUGUGACUGGCGUGCUGGAGUGCGGCAGAGGGAGGUGGAAUUCCACGUGUAGCAGUGAAAUGCGUAGAUAUGCGGAGGAACACCGAUGGCGAAGGCAAUCCCCUGGGCCUGCACUGACGCUCAUGCACGAAAGCGUGGGGAGCAAACAGG
RNAcentral lists this ribosomal RNA (253 nucleotides) under uncultured bacterium. RNAcentral's name for it is "partial 16S ribosomal RNA". It matches the Rfam family "Bacterial small subunit ribosomal RNA", at positions 524 to 776 of the family's 1533-position model. The record is from RNAcentral.